This 465-nucleotide ribosomal RNA is filed under the name uncultured bacterium. RNAcentral's name for it is "partial 16S ribosomal RNA". It matches the Rfam family "Bacterial small subunit ribosomal RNA", at positions 339 to 795 of the family's 1533-position model. The record is from RNAcentral.
CUACGGGAGGCACCAGUGGGGAAUAUUGGACAAUGGGGGAAACCCUGAUCCAGCAAUGCCGCGUGUGUGAAGAAGGCCUGCGGGUUGUAAAGCACUUUCGGUUGGGAGGACUGCUUCUAGCACUAAUAUUGUUGGAAGUUGACGUUACCUUCAGAAGGAGCACCGGCUAACUCCGUGCCAGCAGCCGCGGUAAUACGGGGGGUGCAAGCGUUAAUCGGAAUUACUGGGCGUAAAGCGCGCGUAGGCGGCUAGAUCAGUCGGGUGUGAAAGCCCCGGGCUUAACCUGGGAACUGCAUCCGAUACUGUCUAGCUUGAGUACAGGAGAGGAGAGUGGAAUUCCACAUGUAGCGGUGAAAUGCGUAGAUAUGUGGAGGAACACCAAUGGCGAAGGCAGCUCUCUGGCCUGAUACUGACGCUGAGGUGCGAAAGCGUGGGGAGCAAACAGGAUUAGAUACCCUCGUAGUC